This 668-nucleotide long non-coding RNA is filed under the name Saimiri boliviensis boliviensis (Bolivian squirrel monkey). Its description in RNAcentral is "lncRNA (ENSSBOG00000036562.1)". Lineage: Eukaryota; Metazoa; Chordata; Mammalia; Primates; Cebidae. The record is from RNAcentral.
UGGGGGCUGGGGGCUGCUCGUCAAUCCUGAAAGACACUAUGAUGGAGUCACUCUGCUGGCCAGGUCCCUGGUCAUCAACAACUGUUGGCACAACCGCCCGCUCUUCAGCUCCAUCAUCAGGUUCCUCCAGGACCCAGACUGCAAGAAUCACUUGACAGCCCUUGUGCUCCUGACAGAGCUGCUCCAGUGCCCGGAUGUGGCAGCCGUAGUGGAUGACAUCAGCACCCGCAUUCUGGCAAACUGGUUCAGGAGUGAGGAGCCAGCCACAGUGAAGCUGUUGCUGCAGAUGCUGGAGGUCUUCGCGAAGCAUGGAAACAUGGUGAAAUGGGGCAGGGGCCGAGGGUGUGCUCUCAGGAGACCUUGUCACCAGGGCAAGGAACAUCUGGUGUGUCCAGUUAUAGAUAGGGUGGGACACACUCUUGAGAUCAAAGAGAGAAAAUUCUCCUGAGGCCAGUGCACCACAGACAGAAGUUGGGGCUGGGCCAGUCACGAUUUCUCCCUCCCAGGAAAGGUCUCCUGAGGAAGUUUUCCCAUGGACCAUUUCAGAGAAACAGGCCAAGCUAACCCCAGGAUCUCACAUGUUGUCAUCAGGGAUGAGAAAGGCAGCAGAGAUGGAAACUUACGGUGUAGUGGGAGGAGGGGGCCUCCUCUGUCUUCUCCCCUUUUCU